Molecule: non-coding RNA, 4030 nt
Organism: Hydra vulgaris (swiftwater hydra)
Lineage: Eukaryota; Metazoa; Cnidaria; Hydrozoa; Anthoathecata; Hydridae
Source: RefSeq, a predicted model, not a curated record
GGAAUGCGCGUAUCUUUCAAUUUACGGCACCGAUCUUGUAAUGAAAAACUUCGACCAUUUUAGUGAAGCGUGCAAGGCGUAUGUGUUAAAUAACUCAACGUGACAUUAUAUGGUAUUAUGGGUCCCAAAAAGAAUAUGUGUGUGUUUCGUGGUGCAGCGAAAAACUAUAUAGAAUCAAACUUUGCAUUGUCUUUGCAAGUAGACAACAAUUGUAAAAAUGGGCAUAUUCUGUUUGUAUUCGUUAGCAAUAAUGAAUCACAUCAAUUAACUAUUGAGCAGGUUAAUAAACUUUAUGGCUUCAAUAUUUGUUACAGUCAUACUAAACUUCUUGUUAAUGUAUCAAAAAAAUGGGCUUGCAAUUUUUUAAGAGAUUCAAAACAUUUUGUUGACUUCUGCAACGAGCCUUUUAUUUGUCAAGCAGCAACAUUUCCAGCAACAGAUUCAUUUCAGUCAAGUCCAAGUUCAAGUAAAACUGUUUCGUAUUUGUCAGUUGCCUCAUCUCCUAAACAUAAAAGUAUUUUGUCUUCACCUAAUAAAAAAAGUCCUUUGUUAUCCAGGUUAAGAGCUGACCAGUUGACUCCAAGAAAAAAACUCCUCAAACAUAGAUUAAGUGUUUUUGCUACUGAAAUUGCUACUGAAAAACGAAAGCAUAGAGAGGAUGUAAAGGUGUUAAAAGAAAAAAUUAAAACAAGGCCAAGAUUUAAACAUCUCAAUGAGACUAUUGCUCGCAAAGAAAAGACAAUUCGAAGUUUGCGGAAUAAGUUAAAAGUUCAACGUCUAAACUUACAGCUGAAUAAGCUUCAAAUUUCAAAUUUUCGUUUGAAAAAAGAACUGCAAUUCACCCAAACAAAGCUGUCUAAUGAAGAAGUUAUCUUACGUCAACAACUUGCUGACAAGAAUGUAGAGAUUAAUGUCCUGCAAAAUGAUAUGCUUAUUUUACAGGAAAAGAUAGAGCAAAUGCAGCAGAAAGUACAAAGCACCAGAUGUAAAAAAGUCUACUCAUCUGAUAUUAGGGCACUUAUCUAUGACAUGCUAGCAUGUCAAGUUCCUACACACAGUGUGCCCCAACUUCUUCAUAAAGUAGGAGAACACUUUGGGUAUAGAUUUAGUGACAUUCCACAUCGCAAAACUGUGGAGCAGAUGAUGCACGAGCUGGGUAUUAUUUCAGAACUCCAGGCUGCUGAGAUAGCAUUCUCAACAAAAAAUUUGACUCUUGGUUUUGAUGCCACAACCCAGGAGGGUGUUCAUGUCAAUGUUGUGCACUUAACAAAUGAAUCUUCGUGUAUGGUUGUAGCCAUUGACCAGCUUGCUGGUGGUACAUCUUAUGACUAUAUGAGUCAUAUUACAAAGUCUGUGGAUAAUCUUGCUAAGUUGUAUAGUGACUUUUACCGGAAACAAUAUACUGAUGUACGAAGCACGAUUAUCAGCAACAUAACAAACACAAUGAGUGACAGAGUGGCAGUGAACCAUGCAACUAUAACAAAGUUAAACACUUUUUGGCAAAAAUCUCUAAAUGAACUGAACUGUCACCUUCACCCAUUGGAUACAAUUACUUCUGCUUGCAAGUCAUCGCUUAAAGCUUUGGAAACUUCAAAAGGGAAACUUUUUGGUAGAGAUUGUUUUGCAGCAAACAUUGUUGUUCAGUUAAAUAAACUCCGUUACAAGGAUGGUAAAGGUGAUCCAAAAGGCUUUGUCACCUUUUUGGACAAGCAUGGUCUUCCUAGAGGACUUAUACCACGCUAUAGGGGAAAUCGAUUGCACAUACUUUUUCAUACAUGUGGAACUUUAAUACAUCACUACCAGAAACUUCAGAGUUUUCUGUUUUCUGGAGUAGUGUUAUGUGGAGGACUGAGAAAUAGUCUUUUCCAAGACUUCACAUCUGAUACAGGUAUACGCGAGAUGUGUGCUCUAGGUUUAAUUGGAAAGUUAGUGACUGGUCCCUGGAUGAAAAAAUUCUAUGUGGCGCCAGGACAAGGACUUGACUAUUUGUCUGGCAUCCAAGUGAUCAAAAAUGUUUGCAAUGCACUUGUUGAAAGCAGCGCAGAAGCUCUUUCCCUUAUUCACCGAAAAACAGAUUUUUUUGGAGGUGAUCUCAAUGAUCCAGUUUUUCAAUCACUCAUAGGCUUUUGCCCAAGGACUGAUGAAAUGAGAGAUGCAUUAGCCAGCUGUCUAAAUGCUGUCAUUAGUGUUAUUAACCGUCAGUAUGAGCGACAGUUUACUAUGACUUUAACUGACCAACUCAAGUCCCAGACAUUAUCAGCACGUCCACAUAAUAUUGACUGUGAAGAACUUGUGGGUAUGUUUAGUGCUGCAAAGCAAAAAGCUCCUAAUGCCACACUUUGUUAUUUGUCUUCGAAAAUUCGCGCAUGCAAGAAUAAGACAGCUGAUUUUCUUUCUGAAAAACCUACUGAUAUACGAAAUAAAUUGAUAGCCUGGUCUAUUUCUUCAGCCGGUAAAAAGCGCUUAGCAAACAUGCAAUGCCAUGAAAAAAAGAAGGCAGAAUUGAUUAAACGCAUGGCUAAAAAGAUUCAAAAUAAGGAGGAGAAAGAAAGAAGAAAAGUGGAAAAAAUAUUUAAAAAAUGCGUACCUCUACAGGUAAAACAACUCUUCCCAGAUCUAGAAAAUAAUGAAGCUGCAGAUAUUGAAGACAUUCUCAAUGGAGAUGCUGUUGGAAGAAGUAUAUGCCACAUGUGGUAUGAUGCUGACACUAAAAGCCAGGAUAUGUACUAUGGCAGGCUUCUUAGCAUUAAAAAAAAAAAUAAUGCUUUAUAUAUAGUUUCUUAUUGGAAACCAAAUGAAAAUGAGGAUGAUGAUGCUGUUGAAUAUGAUAUGAGCAAAUAUCAAUUAUCUGCAGACAUCAUAAGCGGUGAUUUGAUGUUAUCAUAAGCAAAUUAUGGUAACAAUCUUAUGAUAAGUAUGAUAAUUUAAUUAUGAUAAAUUAUGAUAGUAAUAUUAUGCUUUAUGUGUUAUUUAAUACGGUAUUGUGUGUUUUUUAUUAUGUGUUUAUAUAUGUGUUAAGGUUAUAUUUUGUAUAUAUUUUGUAAGUAUUUAUGUUUAAUAAAUGUGUAAAUCACUGUAUUAUAUAAAGGGUAUUAUGUGUUAUAAUGUUAUGCUUUUAUAGUUUAAAAGUAUUUAUUAUGUUGUUUCCAUGGUUUCAAAGUGGUGUGACUUGGCUUUGUUUACAGCAAGGGUGUUGUCCUUGCUAGCCAAGCGGUGUACUUUGAAUAUUGUGACUUGGCUUUGUUUAUGGCAAGAGUGUUGUCCUUGCUAGCCAAGCGGUGUACUUUAAAUAAUGUGACUUGGCUUUGUUUAUGGCAAGAGUGUUGUCCUUGCUAGCCAAGCGGUGUACUGUCAUGAAACACAUAAUAAAGUCUGUUGUAAUCACAAAAUGUGUACUUAUAAGUAUGUUAUGCUGUUAGUAAAUAAAAAAAGUUCUAUAAAAUCUGGAUAACUCAAUAACCCUUAAUAACUUGAAUUAAUUUUGAAAUUUCAAUUGAUCCAAUUGUUUAUGGAAUAUGCUUUCAAUAAUCCUAAACAUUUUCUAAUAAGCUAAUUUCUUGGUCCCUUGGUGGUUUCAGUUAUUGAGUGUUUACUGUAACGUUUUGUGCUAUUUGUUAAUCGUGUGAUGUUAUUGUUGUGAUGUUUUGUGUUGAUAGACGACUUGGCUUACCUUCACGUCGGUGUCUAUCGUUAAAAAUGAUUAUUGGAUUGUUUCAUUACUGAAACUGAUUAUAUAUAAUCAUUCACUAAAAGCCAAGGAUUCAAUUUUUAUAUUAAAAUGUAAAGAAUUAUCUUUUUUUAAUUAUUUUUAGCGUUGCUUUUUUUAAAAAGAGUUCAUAGUCCAAACUUGCAACAAUAAAUCUUGAAAUUUUUCACAAAAAUACGCACACAAAAAAAUCUCUUAAAGUUGAAUUCCUUCUCUUAUUGUUGAUCGUUUUCUAAAAGCCAAAAGGAAGUUUUGUUAAUUUUUAUACCAUUUACUAAAGGCUAUACAAUAAAAAAACAAUUCCAUUUGAUUUUAUAAAGUACU